UAUAAUGCAGUCGAGCGAACAGAUAAGGAGCUUGCUCCUUUGACGUUAGCGGCGGACGGGUGAGUAACACGUGGAUAACCUACCUAUAAGACUGGGAUAACUUCGGGAAACCGGAGCUAAUACCGGAUAACAUAUUGAACCGCAUGGUUCAAUAGUGAAAGGCGGCUUUGCUGUCACUUAUAGAUGGAUCCGCGCCGUAUUAGCUAGUUGGUAAGGUAACGGCUUACCAAGGCAACGAUACGUAGCCGACCUGAGAGGGUGAUCGGCCACACUGGAACUGAGACACGGUCCAGACUCCUACGGGAGGCAGCAGUAGGGAAUCUUCCGCAAUGGGCGAAAGCCUGACGGAGCAACGCCGCGUGAGUGAUGAAGGUCUUCGGAUCGUAAAACUCUGUUAUCAGGGAAGAACAAAUGUGUAAGUAACUGUGCACAUCUUGACGGUACCUGAUCAGAAAGCCACGGCUAACUACGUGCCAGCAGCCGCGGUAAUACGUAGGUGGCAAGCGUUAUCCGGAAUUAUUGGGCGUAAAGCGCGCGUAGGCGGUUUUUUAAGUCUGAUGUGAAAGCCCACGGCUCAACCGUGGAGGGUCAUUGGAAACUGGAAAACUUGAGUGCAGAAGAGGAAAGUGGAAUUCCAUGUGUAGCGGUGAAAUGCGCAGAGAUAUGGAGGAACACCAGUGGCGAAGGCGACUUUCUGGUCUGUAACUGACGCUGAUGUGCGAAAGCGUGGGGAUCAAACAGGAUUAGAUACCCUGGUAGUCCACGCCGUAAACGAUGAGUGCUAAGU
This 787-nucleotide ribosomal RNA is filed under the name Staphylococcus warneri. Its description in RNAcentral is "bacterial SSU rRNA". It matches the Rfam family "Bacterial small subunit ribosomal RNA", at positions 50 to 821 of the family's 1533-position model. The record is from RNAcentral. Lineage: Bacteria; Bacillati; Bacillota; Bacilli; Caryophanales; Staphylococcaceae.